GAUGCCAUGCCGUCAUCCUCUUUCUGUUCCUAGCAACUACAGCAAGGGCUGGGUCCUAGCAGUUGCCUAAGUAAUACUGUUAGAAUUAAAGAAUGAGAACAGAGUCUUAAAAGGCAAAUUCUGGCCAGGCACGGUGGCUCACACCUGUAAUCCUGGCACUUUGGGAGGCCAAGCUGGUCUCAAACUCCUGACCUUAGGUGAUCCACCCGCCUCGGCCUCCCAGAGUAUUGGGAUUACAGGCGUGAGCCACUGCGCCCAGCCCUGCCUCCUUGUUUUUGUCGCUCCUCUCUGUAGCCCUGUCCCAGCAACUUGUAUGCUUCCUUUUUCACAGAGCCAUCAUGCAUGAAGAAAAUGGAAUGCAUCAGUAUUUUAUAGACAUUAUUAUUGUCAAAUACAUGCAGAUUUGGACAGGGACAAAUACAGAGAUGAACACUAUUAUUAAGGCAGGACUUUUUUUUUUUUUUAGCUUUAGUGCCUUUUAAUCAUAUUUUCAUAAUAUAAAAUCAUAACAUAAAUAUCAGGAAAGCUAGUAAUUAUUAUUUUGUGUGUGGACUGCCUGGCUAUAUUAUAAACAGGGCAAAGUUUACAUUUUCCUUCCUUCAUUCACGCAGUCAGGGAAAUACUAAGUUGCAAAAUGAUGACAACGAUACAAACAAGUCAUUGGCCCAGAAGGCACCACGAGCAGCUAUUAAUAAGGAAAACAACUUUUUCCAGCUGAGGCCGAGUUGAUUAACUUAUUUUCCUGGAGGAGAGAUAAAGCUUAAGCUAUAAUUUAUUGAAAAUUAAUGAAAAUGAAUUUUGGUGGCACUGGCUAUCAAACUAGAAUGAAAAUAAGAAUGUGAGUAUACUGCAUUAAACCAAAUUUUCCUUCAGGACUCCCAUAUUGCUUCAGCUCUUGUACUGUCACAGAGGUUUGAAUUUGAAAGCAUUAAUGUUGUCUAUUUGCCAGUGGUUCUGAUGGUAAAUAUCCACAGAGUCUUUUAUCUUUAAUUUCUUUCGAUGUGUGUUUUUAGAUCAAGCUUAGUUAGCAAUUUUUAAUGAGAACUUAUACGUCUUGGAGCUUUAGUGCUUUGUUUCAAAAGCCUGACCUUGCAUUUGCUUUUUAAACAAAUGUUUCAGAGCUCUUGUUGCCAAAGACUAAAAUCUUUAAAUUUUGGUGUGAUCAUGUAUAAAGUUCUUGAUGUCCAGUUAUGAGACUUUUCUAGGGGUAUAGCCUAGUGCUGUAACCAAUGAGAUACUGACAGAGAAAACCACUACCUUUUUGGUUAAAGGAUGCUCAUUUUUAGAUCAUUUUUUUCCCCCAGGAUCUCAAUUUUCAUGAAUGUUCUUUCCAGCCUAUCUUUAAGGUUUAGUUUUAUAUUGCAUUGCAAACAAUGCAGUAUCAAAUGUUUGUUCACAUGGAUGUGGACAACAAUACGAGGAAGGAAGAGCCAGACACGCAUGUGACGGUCCUCUGAAGGACCACUGAUAUUACAAAUGGCCAAAUGAACUGGCUUCCCAGGUAGCUUCCUCAAGGAGAGACGUUGCAUCCUGGCACCCAGAUCCCUGGACUUAAAGAUCAAUGGCCUUGAUUUGUCUGAAAUUACCUCACAGAGAGGAUUCCUGUUAAUGAUUACAGAUCCUUCCCAAUACACUUUAUUUAUGGGACUCCCUCAAUGGCGGGGGAGGGGGGGUUGGGGGCGGGCUCUGCUGUCUCCAGCACCGGAAAGAUGCUUUCUCCAGAAGAUGAAUUGGCAUGAACCCUACCAGGCCUGGGAGGGUAGGAGCUUCUGUAGCCUUUUCAAGUAAAAGGGAAAACCCAGACUUGCAUUAG
Molecule: long non-coding RNA, 1813 nt
Organism: Nomascus leucogenys (northern white-cheeked gibbon)
Lineage: Eukaryota; Metazoa; Chordata; Mammalia; Primates; Hylobatidae
Exons: 2
Source: RefSeq, a predicted model, not a curated record